UGCAGAGGGGGCAAGCGUUAUUCGGAAUUAUUGGGCGUAAAGGGCGCGUAGGCGGCCUGGCAAGUGGAUGGUGAAAUCCCUCGGCUUAACCGAGGAACUGCCAUCCAGACUGCUUGGCUUGAGACCGGGAGAGGUGAGUGGAAUUCCCAGUGUAGCGGUGAAAUGCGCAGAUAUCAGGAGGAACACCGGUGGCGAAGGCGGGACUCUGGGCCGAUACUGACGCUGAGGAGCGAAAGCGUGGGGAGCAAACAGG
This 253-nucleotide ribosomal RNA is filed under the name uncultured bacterium. RNAcentral describes it as "partial 16S ribosomal RNA". It matches the Rfam family "Bacterial small subunit ribosomal RNA", at positions 524 to 776 of the family's 1533-position model. The record is from RNAcentral.